This 349-nucleotide long non-coding RNA is filed under the name Hordeum vulgare. RNAcentral describes it as "long non-coding RNA (HVUL_LNC001009)". Lineage: Eukaryota; Viridiplantae; Streptophyta; Magnoliopsida; Poales; Poaceae. The record is from RNAcentral.
AGAGGCGGGGGCGCGGACGGCACGCGAGUGGAGGCGAGCCGGCAUGCGGUAGCGCGCGAGCGGAGAUGAGCCAGCGUGCGGGGCCGCAAACACGUGCGAGCGGAGGUGAGCCGGCAUGCGGGGCCGUGGACGCGAGCGGAGGCUAGCCAACAUGUGCGGCCGCUGAUGUCGGCGAGUGGAGUCGAGGUAGCGAGGUAGAGCCAAAGGGGUGAAGUGGAGCGCGCUCGUAGAGACGAGGCGAGGCGAGGUUGGAGACCGGCGGCCUCGUCUCUUUCCAGGUCGGGGUGGUCUUGUCCAAUCCGUGUUGGUAAUUUUGCAAUUGAUGAAUAGAGUAGACCAAUGCUACUAG